GUGGGGAAUUUUGGACAAUGGGCGCAAGCCUGAUCCAGCAAUGCCGCGUGCAGGAAGAAGGCCUUCGGGUUGUAAACUGCUUUUGUACGGAACGAAACGGUCCUGGUUAAUACCUGGGGCUAAUGACGGUACCGUAAGAAUAAGCACCGGCUAACUACGUGCCAGCAGCCGCGGUAAUACGUAGGGUGCGAGCGUUAAUCGGAAUUACUGGGCGUAAAGCGUGCGCAGGCGGUGCUGUAAGACAGGCGUGAAAUCCCCGGGCUCAACCUGGGAAUUGCGCUUGGGACUGCAGUGCUGGAGUACGGCAGAGGGGGAUGGAAUUCCGCGUGUAGCAGUGAAAUGCGUAGAUAUGCGGAGGAACACCGAUGGCGAAGGCAGUCCCCUGGGCCUGUACUGACGCUCAUGCACGAAAGCGUGGGGAGCAAACAGGAUUAGAAACCCUGGUAGUCC
This 450-nucleotide ribosomal RNA is filed under the name uncultured bacterium. Its description in RNAcentral is "partial 16S ribosomal RNA". It matches the Rfam family "Bacterial small subunit ribosomal RNA", at positions 354 to 796 of the family's 1533-position model. The record is from RNAcentral.